GACGAACGCUGGCGGCGUGCUUAACACAUGCAAGUCGAACGGAAAGGCCCUGCUUUUGUGGCGUGCUCGUGUGGCGAACGUGUGAGUCUCCCGUGAGUAACCUGCCCUUGACUUUGGGCUAUCUUCAGGAAACUGGGGCUAAUACCGCAUAGGAGCUCCUGCUGCCUGGUGGGGGUUUGAUUGUUUCGGCGGUUGGGGAUGGGGUCGCGGCUUCUAAGCUUGUUGUUGGGGUAGUGUCUUACCAAGGCUUUGAGGGGUAGCCGGCCUGAGCGGGUGACCGGCCACAAUGGGAGGGAGAUAAGACGCAGAAGACUACGGGAGGAAGCAGUGGGGAAUAUUGCACAAUGGGGGGAAGCCGGAUGAAGGAACGCCGCGGGGGGGAUGAAGGCCGUCGGGGUGUAAACAGCUUGCGCAUGUGAAGAAGAGAGAGUGACGGUAAUGGGUAAAGAAGCACCGGCUAACUACGUG
Molecule: ribosomal RNA, 468 nt
Filed under: uncultured bacterium
Lineage: Bacteria
Description: partial 16S ribosomal RNA
Rfam family: Bacterial small subunit ribosomal RNA
Source: RNAcentral